GCGCAGCAGUCGCGAAUACUUCACACUGUGCGAAAGCACGAUGAGGGAAUCCCAAGUGCUUGCACGUAAGUGUAAGCUGUUUCUCUGUCUAAAACGCAGAGAGAGUAAGGGCUGGGUAAGACGGGUGCCAGCCGCCGCGGUAAUACCUGCAGCUCAAGUGGUGACCGUUAUUAUUGGGCCUAAAACGUCCGUAGCCGGUUUAA
RNAcentral lists this ribosomal RNA (203 nucleotides) under uncultured microorganism. RNAcentral's name for it is "partial 16S ribosomal RNA". It matches the Rfam family "Archaeal small subunit ribosomal RNA", at positions 330 to 533 of the family's 1478-position model. The record is from RNAcentral.